CUCCUCCUCCUCCCUCUCUCCUGGUCCCAGUUGUAGCAGGUCUGGUCUCUGUGGUUCUCCUGGUUCUGGUUCUGGGUGGAGUUCGGUUCCUCUGCAGUAAACUAAAAGGAGGUCGAGGAGCAGACCUGUGGAGCUGUGGAGGUGACGGCUGUCUGAGACGGAGCGUCUGCCUCUGCUUUUCAGGCCUGUUUCUGCUGACUGCUGCAGGUGUGUGUGUGCUGCUGCUGUCUGCUCUGGCUGUUUCUGCAGGUGAGUUGACGGUAACAUGAACUCUGAGGUGAUGUAGGUGCUCUGUGGUCGCUGCUCCAUCAUCAUGUCUAACAAUCCUCGGUCAGCCUCUUCUUCUUCUUCUCUCCUUUAUCUGACUGACUGUUUACAGCUGAUAAAUAAAGUUUCAGCUUCUCUGUUCAGGUUUCCAUGCUAACAUUAAGAGCUGCUGUUUUUAAUGUUAAUGUUUCACUGCUGUUGGAACGACUUUUAAACUUAAACUUUGUGACUGUAGGAACUCCUUGACACCACUUCAUUCUGAACUUCUAAGAGACCAUUUUAGAAAAAAACGAUGUGUGUUUAUGGCACAAAGCUGGACUGCUCCUUUGUUCAGGGUCUGACUGGGGUGUUGGUUCUGAUUCUGAACAAAUUUAAAGGCUCCAUCAGCUUCUGGAGUCAUAGCCACUCUUCUUUUUCUUGAGCUUGG
Molecule: long non-coding RNA, 694 nt
Organism: Oreochromis niloticus (Nile tilapia)
Lineage: Eukaryota; Metazoa; Chordata; Actinopteri; Cichliformes; Cichlidae
Exons: 4
Source: RefSeq, a predicted model, not a curated record